This is a long non-coding RNA of Neltuma alba, 286 nucleotides long. RefSeq lists it as uncharacterized. The transcript has 2 exons. NCBI's taxonomy places the organism in Eukaryota, Viridiplantae, Streptophyta, Magnoliopsida, Fabales, Fabaceae. The record is from RefSeq and is a predicted model, not a curated record.
UUGCUAAUAUUUCUCCUUGUUCUCUCUUGAUGUACUAUUUUCUCGUCAUUAAAUUUGUUUUGUAUAAAAAAAGUUGUUCAGUGGCGAUGAGUUGACAAAAUUAGUUUUCAAGCUUAAUGUGUUUUGAGCUGCAGGUCCCUCAGAAUCAGUGGCAAUGAGUAGACUCAGAUUUGUCAAAUGAGAAUAAUAACCAAGGAUUUUCCUUGCUGAAAGUUUAAUAAACACGGUUAUAAAAUGGUGUUGAUGCUUUCUAUCCUGUGAAACAAAGCAAUUGCCAUCUUUCCAC